GCCAGUGUGGUGUAGUGGUUUGAGCAUUGGACUGUGACUCGGCACCAGGAUUCAAAUCCCUGCUGGGCCA
Phrynosoma platyrhinos (Desert horned lizard) is the source of this 70-nucleotide non-coding RNA. The record is from the annotation of a GenBank genome assembly. Lineage: Eukaryota; Metazoa; Chordata; Lepidosauria; Squamata; Phrynosomatidae.